Molecule: ribosomal RNA, 451 nt
Filed under: uncultured bacterium
Lineage: Bacteria
Description: bacterial SSU rRNA
Rfam family: Bacterial small subunit ribosomal RNA
Source: RNAcentral
AACGAACGCUGGCGGCAUGCCUAACACAUGCAAGUCGAACGAGACCUUCGGGUCUAGUGGCGCACGGGUGCGUAACGCGUGGGAACCUGCCUUUAGGUUCGGAAUAACUCAGAGAAAUUUGAGCUAAUACCGGAUAAUGUCUUCGGACUAAAGAUUUAUCGCCUUUAGAUGGGCCCGCGUAAGAUUAGCUAGUUGGUGGGGUAAAGCCUACCAAGGCGACGAUCUUUAGCUGGUCUGAGAGGAUGAUCAGCCACACUGGGACUGAGACACGGCCCAGACUCCUACGGGAGGCAGCAGUGGGGAAUAUUGGACAAUGGGCGAAAGCCUGAUCCAGCAAUGCCGCGUGAGUGAUGAAGGCCUUAGGGUUGUAAAACCUCUUUUAUCAAGGAGAAGAUCUGACGGUACUUGAUGAAUAAGCCACGGCUAAUUCCGUGCCAGCAGCCGCGGUAAU